This 461-nucleotide ribosomal RNA is filed under the name uncultured bacterium. RNAcentral's name for it is "partial 16S ribosomal RNA". It matches the Rfam family "Bacterial small subunit ribosomal RNA", at positions 338 to 795 of the family's 1533-position model. The record is from RNAcentral.
CCUACGGGGGGCAGCAGUGAGGCAUAUUGGUCAAUGGGCUUACGCCUGAACCAGCCAAGUCGCGUGAGGGAAGACUGCCCUAUGGGUUGUAAACCUCUUUUGUCAGGGAGCAAUUUGCGCUACGUGUAGCGUUAUCGAGAGUACCUGAAGAAAAAGCAUCGGCUAACUACGUGCCAGCAGCCGCGGUAAUACGUAGGGGGCAAGCGUUAUCCGGAUUUACUGGGUGUAAAGGGAGCGUAGACGGUUAUGUAAGUCUGGAGUGAAAGCCCGGGGCCCAACCCCGGGACUGCUUUGGAAACUGUGGAACUGGAGUACAGGAGGGGCAGGCGGAAUUCCUGGUGUAGCGGUGAAAUGCGUAGAUAUCAGGAGGAACACCGGCGGCGAAGGCGGCCUGCUGGACUGAAACUGACGUUGAGGCUCGAAAGCGUGGGGAGCAAACAGGAUUAGAUACCCUAGUAGUC